Molecule: ribosomal RNA, 1442 nt
Filed under: uncultured organism
Description: partial small subunit ribosomal RNA
Rfam family: Bacterial small subunit ribosomal RNA
Source: RNAcentral
CGGCGUGCUUAACACAUGCAAGUCGAACGGAAAGGCCCUGCUUUUGUGGGGUGCUCGAGUGGCGAACGGGUGAGUAACACGUGAGUAACCUGCCCUUGACUUUGGGAUAACUUCAGGAAACUGGGGCUAAUACCGGAUAGGAGCUCCUGCUGCGUGGUGGGGGUUGGAAAGUUUCGGCGGUUGGGGAUGGACUCGCGGCUUAUCAGCUUGUUGGUGGGGUAGUGGCUUACCAAGGCUUUGACGGGUAGCCGGCCUGAGAGGGUGACCGGCCACAUUGGGACUGAGAUACGGCCCAGACUCCUACGGGAGGCAGCAGUGGGGAAUAUUGCACAAUGGGCGGAAGCCUGAUGCAGCAACGCCGCGUGCGGGAUGACGGCCUUCGGGUUGUAAACCGCUUUCGCCUGUGACGAAGCGUGAGUGACGGUAAUGGGUAAAGAAGCACCGGCUAACUACGUGCCAGCAGCCGCGGUGAUACGUAGGGUGCGAGCGUUGUCCGGAUUUAUUGGGCGUAAAGGGCUCGUAGGUGGUUGAUCGCGUCGGAAGUGUAAUCUUGGGGCUUAACCCUGAGCGUGCUUUCGAUACGGGUUGACUUGAGGAAGGUAGGGGAGAAUGGAAUUCCUGGUGGAGCGGUGGAAUGCGCAGAUAUCAGGAGGAACACCAGUGGCGAAGGCGGUUCUCUGGGCCUUUCCUGACGCUGAGGAGCGAAAGCGUGGGGAGCGAACAGGCUUAGAUACCCUGGUAGUCCACGCUGUAAACGGUGGGUACUAGGUGUGGGGUCCAUUCCACGGGUUCCGUGCCGUAGCUAACGCUUUAAGUACCCCGCCUGGGGAGUACGGCCGCAAGGCUAAAACUCAAAGGAAUUGACGGGGCCCCGCACAAGCGGCGGAGCAUGCGGAUUAAUUCGAUGCAACGCGUAGAACCUUACCUGGGUUUGACAUGGAUCGGGAGUGCUCAGAGAUGGGUGUGCCUCUUUUGGGGUCGGUUCACAGGUGGUGCAUGGCUGUCGUCAGCUCGUGUCGUGAGAUGUUGGGUUAAGUCCCGCAACGAGCGCAACCCUUGUUCACUGUUGCCAGCACGUUAUGGUGGGGACUCAGUGGAGACCGCCGGGGUCAACUCGGAGGAAGGUGGGGAUGACGUCAAGUCAUCAUGCCCCUUAUGUCCAGGGCUUCACGCAUGCUACAAUGGCUGGUACAGAGAGUGGCGAGCCUGUGAGGGUGAGCGAAUCUCGGAAAGCCGGUCUCAGUUCGGAUUGGGGUCUGCAACUCGACCUCAUGAAGUCGGAGUCGCUAGUAAUCGCAGAUCAGCAACGCUGCGGUGAAUACGUUCCCGGGGCUUGUACACACCGCCCGUCAAGUCAUGAAAGUUGGUAACACCCGAAGCCGGUGGCCUAACCGUUGUGGGGGAGCCGUCGAGGGUGGGACUGGUGAUUAGGACUAAGUCAU